AAACUCAAAUGAAUUGACGGGGCCCGCACAAGCGGUGAGCAUGUGGUUUAAUUCGAAGCAACGCGCAGAACCUUACCUACCCUUGACAUGUCCAGUAUGGUUUCCAGAGAUGGAUUCCUUCAGUUCGGCUGGCUGGAACACAGGUGCUGCAUGGCUGUCGUCAGCUCGUGUCGUGAGAUGUUGGGUUAAGUCCCGCAACGAGCGCAACCCUCAUCCUUAGUUGCCAUCACGUUUGGGUGGGCACUCUAAGGAAACUGCCGGUGGCAAGCCGGAGGAAGGUGGGGAUGACGUCAAGUCCUCAUGGCCCUUACGGGUAGGGCUACACACGUGCUACAAUGGCAGUGACAAUGGGAUAAUCCCAAAAAGCUGUCUCAGUUCGGAUUGUCGUCUGCAACUCGACGGCAUGAAGGUGGAAUCGCUAGUAAUCGUGGAUCAGCAUGCCACGGUGAAUACGUUCCCGGGGCUU
RNAcentral lists this ribosomal RNA (466 nucleotides) under uncultured Hyphomonas sp. RNAcentral's name for it is "bacterial SSU rRNA". It matches the Rfam family "Bacterial small subunit ribosomal RNA", at positions 897 to 1382 of the family's 1533-position model. Lineage: Bacteria; Pseudomonadati; Pseudomonadota; Alphaproteobacteria; Hyphomonadales; Hyphomonadaceae. The record is from RNAcentral.